UCAGCCCUGCCUUAACCGCUUGAUGACA
Molecule: unclassified non-coding RNA, 28 nt
Filed under: Mus musculus (house mouse)
Lineage: Eukaryota; Metazoa; Chordata; Mammalia; Rodentia; Muridae
Description: oocyte_clustered_small_RNA3544
Source: RNAcentral